GACGAACGCUGGCGGCGUGCUUAACACAUGCAAGUCGAACGGAAAGGCCCUGCUUUUGUGGGGUGCUCGAGUGGCGAACGGGUGAGUAACACGUGAGUAACCUGCCCUUGACUUUGGGAUAACUUCAGGAAACUGGGGCUAAUACCGGAUAGGAGCUCCUGCUGCAUGGUGGGGGUUGGAAAGUUUCGGCGGUUGGGGAUGGACUCGCGGCUUAUCAGCUUGUUGGUGGGGUAGUGGCUUACCAAGGCUUUGCCGGGUAGCCGGCCUGUGAGGGUGACCGGCCACAUUGGGACUGAGAGACGGCCCAGAGUCCAACGGGAGGCAGCAGUGGGGAAUAUUGCACAAUGGGCGGAAGCCUGAUGCAGAAACGCCGCGUGCGGGAUGACGGCCUUCGGGUUGUAAACCGCUUUAGCCUGUGACGAAGCGUGAGUGACGGUAAUGGGUAAAGAAGCACCGGCUAACUACGUG
This 468-nucleotide ribosomal RNA is filed under the name uncultured bacterium. RNAcentral describes it as "partial 16S ribosomal RNA". It matches the Rfam family "Bacterial small subunit ribosomal RNA", at positions 28 to 507 of the family's 1533-position model. The record is from RNAcentral.